RNAcentral lists this long non-coding RNA (1438 nucleotides) under Sorghum bicolor (sorghum). RNAcentral's name for it is "long non-coding RNA (SBIC_LNC001506)". Lineage: Eukaryota; Viridiplantae; Streptophyta; Magnoliopsida; Poales; Poaceae. The record is from RNAcentral.
ACACACAUAUAAAUUGGUAAGGUAGCUAGAUGGUUUUCUUUGCGAGACCAGACUCUAUACACUCACUUUUCAUUAUUUGAAAGUUGUUCCGAUGAGAUGUUUGAUGCUCUUAAUCACUUUCAUUUUCAUUUUUUUAUUUGGAAGAAGUCCAAAUUACUACCCUUAAGUAUGGCCUAUGUCUAGAUAAUUCCAUAAACUAUCAUUUGGUUCAGUUCACUCCACUCAAUUAUCCUAGUUUGUUUAAUUUACCCAUUCAAUAUGAUUUAUCUUUUUUUGUUUCUCCGCAUUCAAGAUGAUUUAAAAUUUCAAAUCCUAUGAGGGGCCGGGGUAGCUAGCCCCAUAGUAAAUGUUAAAAGGUACAUCGUAGUUUUUACCAAUAUAUAUGUUGAUAGGUAAGGACAUAUAAUAAUAAAUUAACAUAAGAAAUACAAAGUUGUAUUAAAAUCAGUUGUACAAAAUUCAUAUUACUAUAUUUCUGAAAUACAAUGUCCAUUAUCACCUCACAAAUUUUGAAAGAGAGAAACCCAAAACGGUGGGAAGCAGCGAUCCCUACUCAGUCACCUCCAACCUUUGAUUGGCAACCCCUUUUUUCAAAAAAAAAAAAAAAACUUUGAUUGGCAACCGAACAAAACAAAACUUUGACUAGCGAUGUAUGAGUAUAUAUAUGACGGAGAAGAAAUGAACGAGGCCCUCGCUGUGGCUGCCCUGUGGGACACUAGCGAACGCCGAUGUCUCCUCCUCUCGCAUGCAGCGCACGGGACAAAAACAAUGGAAUGCAAACUGGGCCUAGAAUUAGGCGGCAUGGGCCGAGCCUGCCGUGGAGGGGGCUGAGAGGCGGCAUGCUGGGCAGCUGGGCCGAGGCUUAGGUGGCAUGGCAUUCUUCUUACGGGCUGGACCGGGAAGCAAGUGGAAAAGGAAGUGGAGGCUUGGACCAGAAACGGCGCGUUGGCUGUUUUUGUUAGGGAAAAGGUUUUUUUUUUCCAUCUUAAACCUCACUGCCUAUUUCUUUUAAUCAAUACGUAAGUUGUUCAACUAAACAAUCUACUGUUACAUAUAAUUAAAAAAUUCACUAGUUUAUGUAAUUGUAGUGUUCAUACCAGCAAGUCACUAUAUUUUUCUCAAUAUACAAGUUGUCCAACUAAGCAAUCCACUAACACACACAACUAAAAUCCAUUAGCCAUACAAUUGUAAUGUCCACGUCAGUAAGACACAUAAAUUUUUAUUUAUCCAUGUGAUUAUGCCACAUAAUUCACAGAAUUUCCGCAGCAACGCGUGGGGUAUUCUUCUAGUUUAUACUAAGAUAAUGUUCUUCAAUCAAGCCUUUAAAAAUGAAGAUAACUCUAAAUUAAAUUUGAAUCAAACUAGAAAGAUACACGAUUCACGUGCAUGCAUACCUGCUAGAUGAGUGCACAAUUUAACUUACAAAAUUAGAGAGAGC